Molecule: ribosomal RNA, 279 nt
Filed under: Triticum aestivum (bread wheat)
Lineage: Eukaryota; Viridiplantae; Streptophyta; Magnoliopsida; Poales; Poaceae
Description: partial small subunit ribosomal RNA
Source: RNAcentral
AUGUGUACCCGCCCGUACGACAACGAGCCGUGCAGGUGGGCACCAGAAAGGCUGAAUUGCGGGCACGUCUUCCAUGGGCAGUGCAUCAAGCCGUGGGGCGCCGUCAACCUGGCUUGCCCAGUCUGCAACACAACCCACAUCCAGCUUCUUGGGAAGACGCCCGGCGACGCCAGGGCAGCAAGGCACCGGUACUCAUUCAGCCAUCUCGAGAGCUCGGUCACCACCAAGGAUGACAUCGCCGUCGGCAGCUCGAGCUUCCGGCAACGAGAUUGGGAUUGA